AUGCAACAACUCUAUCUGGGAAUCUUCCCCUUUUGCUGUACUAACUCACUCCUACAGUUUGGACUUGUCAAGCCUGAGAUCCCGAUCGCCAUGGAGCUUCCGUUGACCUCGGCCCUCCUCCUGCUCCUACCUCUACUCUGCUUCCUCUGGCUACGCCGGGACACCAGGAGGCAGAGUCGCUCCGACGGCCUCAAGGCCUACCCCAUCAUCGGCACGCUCCCCCACUUCGUCAAGAACCAGCACCGCCUCAUCGAGUGGUCGGCCGGCGUCCUGGCGCGGUGCCCCACCUACACCAUGACCUUCAACUUCAGGGGCCUCGGCCUCGGGGCCGGCGUCAUGACGGCCAACCCGGCCAACGUCGAGCACGUCGCCAAGGCCAACUUCCAGAACUACCCCAAGGGCGAGUUCGUGGUGUCCGUCAUCGAGGACCUGCUCGGCCACGGCAUCUUCAACUCCGACGGCGACCAGUGGCUCCGGCAGCGCAAGGCCGCCAGCUACGAGUUCAACACGCGGUCGCUGCGGAACUUCGUGGUCAGCGCCGUCGGCUCCGAGGUCGUCGACCGGCUGCUGCCGCUGCUGGAGCGCGCGGGGCGCGACGGGCGGACGGUGGACGUGCAGGACGUGCUGGAGCGCUUCGCGUUCGACACCAUCUGCUGCGUCGUCUUCGACGAGGACCCGGCGUGCCUCGCCGAGGAGGAGUGGCCGGGGGCGGACGGGCGUGCGGAGUUCAUGCGCGCCUUGACCGACGCUCAGAACAUCGUCAUGGCCCGGUUCAUGUCGCCGGUCAAGUGGGCGUGGCGGCUCCAGAGGCUGCUCAACGUGGGGCCGGAGAGGCGGAUGCGCGACGCGGUCGCCACGAUCCACGGCUACAUCGACAGGGCCGUCCGCGAGCGCGGCGAGAGGGGGGCGGCCGCCGGGCUGGCCCGCAAGGACGACUUCCUGUCGCGCUUCGCCUCGAGCGGCGAGCACAGCGACGAGGGCCUCCGCGACGUGGUCACCAACUUCAUCGUCGCCGGGCGGGACACGACGUCCUCGGCGCUCAGCUGGUUCUUCUGGGUGCUGUCCGGCCGGCCCGACGUGGAGGACAAGAUCGUGCGCGAGGUCCGCGCGGCGCGCGCGUCGAGCGGGGAGGGGUCGUUCGGCUACGAGGAGCUGCGCUCGAUGCAGUACCUGCAGGCGGCGAUCACGGAGUCGAUGCGGCUGUACCCGCCCGUGGCCAUGGACACGCACUGCUGCCAGCGCGAGGAUGUCCUGCCCGACGGCACGCUCGUCGGCAAAGGGUGGCAGGUCACCUACAGCGCGUACGCCAUGGCGCGGCUGGAGGAGCUAUGGGGCGCGGACUGCGCGGAGUUCCGGCCGGAGCGGUGGCUCGACGAGGAGGGGGCGUUCCGGCCGGAGAGCACGAGCAAGUACCCGGUGUUCCACGCGGGGCCGAGGAUGUGCCUCGGCAAGGAGAUGGCCUACAUACAGAUGAAGUCCAUCGUGGCCGGCGUGCUGGAGAGGUUCAGCCUCCGGCACGUCGGCGGCGAGGGGCACCCCCGGCUCGUCAUGUCGCUGACGCUGCGCAUGGGAGGCGGCUUGCCGAUGCAGGUGAAGAGCAGAGGGAGCUAG
RNAcentral lists this ribosomal RNA (1611 nucleotides) under Triticum aestivum (bread wheat). RNAcentral's name for it is "partial small subunit ribosomal RNA". The record is from RNAcentral. Lineage: Eukaryota; Viridiplantae; Streptophyta; Magnoliopsida; Poales; Poaceae.